RNAcentral lists this ribosomal RNA (474 nucleotides) under uncultured bacterium. RNAcentral's name for it is "partial 16S ribosomal RNA". It matches the Rfam family "Bacterial small subunit ribosomal RNA", at positions 28 to 507 of the family's 1533-position model. The record is from RNAcentral.
GACGAACGCUGGCGGCGUGCUUAACACAUGCCAGUCGAGCGGUAAGGCUCCUUCGGGAGUACACGAGCGGCGAACGGGUGAGUAACACGUGAGUAAUCUGCCCUUCACUUCGGGAUAACCACCGGAAACGGUGGCUAAUACCGAAUACGACCAGUCUUCGCAUGAGGUGCUGGUGGAAAGUCUUUUCGGUGAAGGAUGUGCUCGCGGCCUAUCAGCUUGUUGGUGGGGUAAUGGCCUACCAAGGCUUCGACGGGUAGCCGGCCUGAGAGGGUGACCGGCCACACUGGGACUGAGACACGGACCAGACUCCUACGGGAGGCAGCAGUGGGGAAUAUUGGACAAUGGGCGAAAGCCUGAUCCAGCAACGCCGCGUGAGGGAUGACGGCCUUCGGGUUGUAAACCUCUUUCAGUACCGACGAAGCGCCCUGUCGGGUGGUGACGGUAGGUACAGAAGAAGGACCGGCCAACUACGUG